GCCGUUAUAGUUUAAUGGUAGAAUAUGUCAUUGGUAUUGACAAGAACUAAGUUCGAUUCUUAGUAACGGCACAG
This 74-nucleotide transfer RNA is filed under the name Ehrlichia ruminantium str. Welgevonden. RNAcentral describes it as "tRNA-Thr". It matches the Rfam family "tRNA". From Rfam's summary of the family: Transfer RNA (tRNA) molecules are approximately 80 nucleotides in length. Their secondary structure includes four short double-helical elements and three loops (D, anti-codon, and T loops). The record is from RNAcentral. Lineage: Bacteria; Pseudomonadati; Pseudomonadota; Alphaproteobacteria; Rickettsiales; Anaplasmataceae.